This 216-nucleotide ribosomal RNA is filed under the name Glomeromycotina sp. RNAcentral's name for it is "partial small subunit ribosomal RNA". The stretch from base 40 to 216 matches the Rfam family "Eukaryotic small subunit ribosomal RNA", at positions 686 to 864 of the family's 1831-position model. The record is from RNAcentral. Lineage: Eukaryota; Fungi; Glomeromycota.
GGGUCAGUAGGUUGGUCGUGCCACCGGUACGUACUGGUCUCACUGAUUCCUCCUUCCUGAAGAACCGUAAUGCCAUUAAUUUGUUGUUGCGGGGAAACAGGACUGUUACUUUGAAAAAAUUAGAGUGUUUAAAGCAAGCUAACGCUUGAAUACAUUAGCAUGGAAUAAUGAAAUAGGACGAUCGAUCCUCUAUUGUUGGUUUCUAGGAUUGACGUA